Molecule: ribosomal RNA, 117 nt
Filed under: Candidatus Dojkabacteria bacterium
Lineage: Bacteria
Source: RNAcentral
UCCGGUGAUGGUAUCGUCUUGGCACCACCUGAUCCCAUUCCGAACUCAGAAGUGAAACAAGAUUGAGCCGAAGAUACUUGGACCGAAGGGUCCUGGGAAAAUAGGUAAUCGCCGGUU